Molecule: non-coding RNA, 72 nt
Organism: Pangasianodon gigas (Mekong giant catfish)
Lineage: Eukaryota; Metazoa; Chordata; Actinopteri; Siluriformes; Pangasiidae
Source: the annotation of a GenBank genome assembly
UCCCAGGGGUCUAGCGGCUAAGGAUCCGGCACUCUCACCGCCAUGGCCUGGGUUCGAUUCCCGGGCAGGGAA